GGAAGGAUCAUUAUUGAAUAAACAUUUGAUAGGCUGUUGCUGGCCCUUGGUAGUGUGCACGCUUGUCAUUUAUUUGUUUGUUUUUCCACCUGUGCACCUUUUUGUAGACCUUAGAAUUUGGGAACUGCUGUGCGAGUGCCAGCUUUUCCUUGUCUCUCUCUAGGUUCUAUGUUUUUCACAUACUCCUACGAAUGUAAUAGAAUGUUGAUCUGGGUCUUUGAUGCCCAUAAAGUUAUAUACAACUUUCAGCAAUGGAUCUCUUGGCUCUCGCAUCGAUGAAGAACGCAGCGAAAUGCGAUAAGUAAUGUGAAUUGCAGAAUUCAGUGAAUCAUCGAAUCUUUGAACGCAUCUUGCGCUCCUUGGUAUUCUGAGGAGCAUGCCUGUUUGAGUGUCAUUAAAUUCUCAACUACACUGACUUUUGAUUGGUGUGGCUUGGAUUUGGGAUUGUGGGCUAUUGCCGUAGUCUGCUCUCCUGAAAUUGAUUAGCAGUGCCUUGGUGGAACUGUCUACAGGUGUGAUAAUUAUCUACAUCCUAGACAUCUGCUUGAUGCUGCUUUCUAAACCUUACCUCUAUUGACAAUCUUGACCUCAAAUCAGGUAGGACUACCCGCUGAACUUAAGCAUAUCAAUAAGCGGAGGAAAAGAAACUAACAAGGAUUCCCUUAGUAACUGCGAGUGAAGUGGGAAAAGCUCAAAUUUAGAAUCUGGCGGUCACUUGGCUGUCCGAGUUGUAAUCUAGAGAAGUGUUGCCCGUGCUGGACCAUGUACAAGUCUCCUGGAAUGGAGCAUCACAGAGGGUGAGAAUCCUGUCUUUGACAUGGACUACCAGUGCUUUUGUGGUACGCUCUCAAAGAGUCGAGUUGUUUGGGAAUGCAGCUCAAAAUGGGUGGUAAAUGCCAUCUAAAGCUAAAUAUUGGCGAGAGACC
RNAcentral lists this ribosomal RNA (926 nucleotides) under uncultured fungus. RNAcentral describes it as "eukaryotic LSU rRNA". The stretch from base 584 to 926 matches the Rfam family "Eukaryotic large subunit ribosomal RNA", at positions 1 to 335 of the family's 3401-position model. The record is from RNAcentral. Lineage: Eukaryota; Fungi.